This is a long non-coding RNA of Mesocricetus auratus (golden hamster), 1371 nucleotides long. RefSeq lists it as uncharacterized. NCBI's taxonomy places the organism in Eukaryota, Metazoa, Chordata, Mammalia, Rodentia, Cricetidae. The transcript is spliced from 2 exons. The record is from RefSeq and is a predicted model, not a curated record.
GCGGCGCGGAGCAGCCCCCACCCGCCCGGGGAGGGAGCGGGCACUCGGCGGCACGCGGCCUCGCGCCUCGCCUCCCACACCCCCGCACACAAAGACGCCACUCGGCACAGGGAGCAGGGGCCCGCAGCGGGAGCGGGGGCACACAGGGCGCUGGCCCCUGGGACGCCGCCGCCGCCGCAGGGACGCGCGCCCGCAGCCUCCGGCUACCCUAAACCGCAUAGCCCGGCCCUCAGCCCGAGCGGCCGGCGAGGGACGAGCAGAUGCGGGAGAGAGAGGAGGGGACCCGGGUGCCCUGAGCUGGGCUAGUUACAGCUCGGCCCCGCAGCAUCAUGGGGCUUGUAGUCCGCCUGGUAGAACCGAGCGUUUCGGAUGACCCGAGACCGUCUGGAACUGAUUUCCUGAAAGGGUGGACAGACAGUGGGCCCGGACGAAACGGGGGCCUUACUUGGAUGCCAGAAAAGUAAACCCCAUCUUCCACACAUCACGCUGGAAAGAGCAUGUCUAACGGGGGCGAAGAAGACAGUCCUUCCCCUACAUUGCUCAUCAAGAACCAGGACGAGGCUGAGCAAACUGGCAUCUCCACACCUCCAACCCAUGUAGGUCCCUGACUAAGGGAAAUGACGGGGUGCAGACAGCCUCCUUCCUGAAUGACCAGAGCAAACGAGCCCUUCCACAAGGAUCCCUUGCAGAGAGUGUGGAAAAAGUGAAAAUGGCCUCUGUGGUGGCCAGCUGCAAAUGUUAAAAGGACCAAGAUGCCCUGAAAGAGAAAAUGGAUCAUGAUGUCGAGAGAGUUUAGAUUCCGACUGCCUCAAUUGCUUGUUUUUAAGCAAAUUGCAUACACUUCUGAGUUCCUCAGUCCACUCACUUCUACAAUGGGAUUGGAUAUCACCUCCUGGGGUGAGCCCAGGACAGCAACUCUCCUUCAGCCAGGCUGAGACGGGUGGUAGGAAUGAACGCAUUGCCUUCCCUCAGCCCACCUUAAGCCACGGCAGAAAUAGGGGAUUCCUCACCAACCCGACUUGGAACAACAGUCUAAUGAGUGUUUGUGUGGGAGGUGCCAGCAAAAGCUUGCAAACUCCUGAUGCCUCUCUCGGGUUUCUUUGUGUGGUCCUUCUCCCCUGCCUCCCGCACACCCAGCUUUGCCUGGCCCGGGAGGGCUGAGGGAGGAGCAGACUGCCUCGCCCCUUUCUGCAGCCGGGGAGGAGCCGGCAGGCGUUUCCACAGCCCAGAUCCGCACCUCCACCGCCAGGGGUCAGCAGAGUGUCGUGAUUGCAGCCCGAGUUGAGGAGGGGGCUAGAGUAAAGGAGGAGCAUCUAGGAGAGGUUUCUAGAAUACUUGUACAGUACUUCAUUAAAUCGUUUCAGAGCCUUG